GGGGGCGACUGGUUUCGACAGGGUGAUUCUGAGGUGGGCAGCAAGCCGUGGUCUCCUCGCCACGUUAAUCAGGGGUACCGUCAAAUUUAAUUGACAAUGAUUCUUACCAGGGCUAUGCCCUCGCUGCUUAAUUAAUAUUGCAGCCGUCAAUCCGGGGAUUGCUCCCGUUUCCGGUGCGACGUCAUCUAGGGAGAUGCUCCUUUGGACGUAGCUGGUAUGCCAGGGGAUAAGACUGAACCAACUGGGGCGCCGAGCGCGGGUUACCGAGCGCGACGCGCCCGAGAUCUAAUCGGCAACUGAGCUUGGAGACACCUGCCAGGGGAUUGCUUUGGACCGGAGUUCGAUUCUCCGCGCCUCCACCU
Coriobacteriaceae bacterium is the source of this 362-nucleotide non-coding RNA. The record is from Rfam. Lineage: Bacteria; Bacillati; Actinomycetota; Coriobacteriia; Coriobacteriales; Coriobacteriaceae.